This 468-nucleotide ribosomal RNA is filed under the name uncultured bacterium. RNAcentral describes it as "partial 16S ribosomal RNA". It matches the Rfam family "Bacterial small subunit ribosomal RNA", at positions 28 to 507 of the family's 1533-position model. The record is from RNAcentral.
GACGAACGCUGGCGGCGUGCUUAACACAUGCAAGUCGAACGGAAAGGCCCUGCUUUUGUGGGGUGCUCGAGUGGCGAACGGGUGAGUAACACGUGAGUAACCUGCCCUUGACUUUGGGAUAACUUCAGGAAACUGGGGCUAAUACCGGAUAGGAGCUCCUGCUGCAUGGUGGGGGUUGGAAAGUUUCGGCGGUUGGGGAUGGACUCGCGGCUUAUCAGCUUGUUGGUGGGGUAGUGGCUUACCAAGGCUUUGACGGGUAGCCGGCCUGAGAGGGUGACCGGCCACAUUGGGACUGAGAUACGGCCCAGACUCCUACGGGAGGCAGCAGUGGGGAGUAUUGCACAAUGGGCGGAAGCCUGAUGCAGCAACGCCGCGUGCGGGAUGACGGCCUUCGGGCUGUAAACCGCUUUCGCCUGUGACGAAGCGUGAGUGACGGUAAUGGGUAAAGAAGCACCGGCUAACUACGUG